This 743-nucleotide long non-coding RNA is filed under the name Chinchilla lanigera (long-tailed chinchilla). RNAcentral describes it as "lncRNA (ENSCLAG00000026551.1)". Lineage: Eukaryota; Metazoa; Chordata; Mammalia; Rodentia; Chinchillidae. The record is from RNAcentral.
UAUCCUCUGAGAAACAGGAAAUAGUCUGUGGGUGUGAGAGAAAGCUUUUGGUUUUCUAAUACAAGCAAAACAUUAACGUUUGUGCCCUGCAAUCUUCCUCCUGUCUUCCCACAGGUAUUUUCAACUUAAUACCUCACCUGCCUUGGUCAUUCGUGCCUGGGAAAAGGCCAGAAGAAUCACUGAGAUGCCAACCUUGGCAUUAUGAAGCCGCUGAAUCAAUACCAGCAGCUGCCUUUCUCCAGAUUCGUGUAUUAAUGUGAAAAGUGAUCUCUCUGUGUUAAGCUAGGUUGUCUUUCACUUGCAGCACAGCAUUCCUAUCUGAUGCACACAGUUCUGAAAACAAAACUGUCUGUGUUCAUGACUCAUUUUGCCCAGAAGCUUACCGCGCAGUUCCAACACUGUCAGAAGGCAGACAGAAUCAAAAGCCCGCAUGACUGUGUUUGUGUACAGCAUUCCUGAGCAUGUUAUGUGUCUACAGGUAAUUUCUGGCUACUGUACAAAGGAAUAUAUUAAGAUUAAAAGCAGAAGCUACCACCUAUGCUUCAUCAUGGAGACACUCAUGAAAGAGGACUUCCAGAAGUGCUACGGAGAACGGCAAGAACAAUGAGUGUCUGAAGUUCGGGUGAGUAUUUUGAGAGGGAUAAUGGCAAUGUUAUGUACACGCACCAACUCCCUCUGAGAAACAGAAUCAGCAUGUACUGCAAACGUGUACUUAUAAAAAAAUAAAGAUUAAAAUAUUAAAC